RNAcentral lists this transfer RNA (70 nucleotides) under Ictidomys tridecemlineatus (thirteen-lined ground squirrel). RNAcentral's name for it is "Spermophilus tridecemlineatus (thirteen-lined ground squirrel) tRNA". It matches the Rfam family "tRNA". Rfam says of the family: Transfer RNA (tRNA) molecules are approximately 80 nucleotides in length. Their secondary structure includes four short double-helical elements and three loops (D, anti-codon, and T loops). The record is from Rfam by way of RNAcentral. Lineage: Eukaryota; Metazoa; Chordata; Mammalia; Rodentia; Sciuridae.
GGUGAUAUAGCUCAGUUGGUAGAGUGCUUGCCUUGCAUGCACAAAGCCCUGGGUUCAAUCCCCAGCACCA